Molecule: unclassified non-coding RNA, 297 nt
Filed under: fungal sp.
Lineage: Eukaryota; Fungi
Description: partial internal transcribed spacer region
Rfam family: Eukaryotic small subunit ribosomal RNA (bases 1-46)
Source: RNAcentral
AAGUCGUAACAAGGUUUCCGUAGGUGAACCUGCGGAAGGAUCAUUAUGUGUUUGCGGUUGCCAACCGCGUCUUCAUCUCGUCGCACGGAAACCCCACGGCCGUGGGCAGAAAUGCCACCGGCCGCGGGCGGAAGUGCGAUCGAGGCGAAGUACACCCUUGACUACAAGUACCUCUUGUUCCCUCGGCGGGCUCGCGCUCGCCGCUGGGCCCAUCCAAACCCCUUUGCAGUAGCCGUAUACCUCUGAUCGUGGGCACUUGAAUUUUUACAACUUUCAACAACGGAUCUCUUGGUUCUG